RNAcentral lists this ribosomal RNA (379 nucleotides) under uncultured bacterium. RNAcentral describes it as "bacterial SSU rRNA". It matches the Rfam family "Bacterial small subunit ribosomal RNA", at positions 521 to 896 of the family's 1533-position model. The record is from RNAcentral.
UAACACGUAGGGACCGAGCGUUGUCCGGAUUUAUUGGGCGUAAAGCGCGCGUAGGCGGCUGUCCACGUCGGAUGUGAAAGCUCGGAGCUCAACUCUGAGAGGCCAUUCGAUACGGGACAGCUAGAGGCAGCUAGGGGAGAGUGGAAUUCCUGGUGUAGCGGUGAAAUGCGCAGAUAUCAGGAGGAACACCGGUGGCGAAGGCGGCUCUCUGGGGCUGUUCUGACGCUGAGGCGCGAAAGCUGGGGGAGCGAACAGGAUUAGAUACCCUGGUAGUCCCAGCCGUAAACGUUGGGUGCUAGGUGUGGGGAGGCCUUCAACCCUUUCCGUGCCGAAGCUAACGCAUUAAGCACCCCGCCUGGGGAGUACGGCCGCAAGGCUA